CUACACGUUAUCGCAAAUCCGAAACUAGGAAGCCAAUAAUGCGGACGACGCGUGAGUCUCAAAGGCCGCCGUUUCUUCGGCGUUUAGAAUCCUCGAGCCUGACGCGUCUCUCCAUCUCGUGUGAGAUAUCUUGGAAUUAUUGUAAUUGUUUACUGCUCAUUAAACUUCAGCAAGCUGCGUAUUCAUUUCGCUAACUGAAGACUUUUGGUUGUACGUAGGUUGAAUUGUUUUACUCUCAAAUGUAUUUAAAUGUGGAACGCUCUUUUUAGUAAUUUUGAAUAUUAUGUUUUUCUUCACACGAACUAUUUUAAAAAUAGGAAGAUUAAUUAGUGCAAAGAUAUCGAUAUUUUUUACUUUUAUUGUAAAUUCUUUUCAAUUCUUACAUUUUGAUGUCUACUUGACGUUAUAAUGUUAAUAAUUGUUAUAUAUAUAAAUAGCUAUAUUAGCAGAGGAUAUGUCGGAAUAGGAAAUAUCUUCUGCUUUAUCUCUUGUUCGUAUCAUAUCUCUUUGUUUUAUCUCCUUUCGUAUUGUUCAAUAGAAUAUUCUCACUCAAUAAUGGUAUUUUUUUGCUUGAUAUUGAUCUUUAGAUACGUGACGUAAAAAAAUCAUAUAUAGUCAAUUUAGUAAAAAUAGCUAUGAAGUUAUUUCAUUCUGCUACAAAAAAUUGUAAUAUUUUUACUACUACUUUUGAUCUCUUUUAUCUUUCUAUAGAAUAAAUUGUGAUUUCAGUUAUUUCUAGAUUCUAAAAGGGGUAUAAAUUCCACCCUUCGUUAUUUUGCGAAUUGAGUACUUCAGCGUGCGGAACGAUAUAACGAACUGAAAGGGUGGUAGCCUUUGGUGUGGUCAGCGUGACAACAAUGAGGUGAUGAAACAAGCUUCGCAAAACAUUGGAAAUAACCGUGAGAUUGCUCACUGGUCGUAGUUGUUACAUACAUACACGUGUAAGUGAUUUUAUCUAUGUGAAUAUUGGCUAAGUCAUCUUUCUUGCAUUUAUUACUAUGAUGCUUCCCGUUUGAAUUUUAUCGCAAUAAUCAUUUAAUUAUUGCUGCACGAUAAUCAGUUAGCGAAUAAUGAAAUUAUAAUUUCAUGUAAUUAGGAUCACGACAACAAUGUCAUUUCGUCUGUCUUGCUCUCGAUAGAUUCACUAAUUCAAGCUAAACUGCAUCCGAUGAAACAUGACUAUGAAGCAGUUCGUGACAUUGUUUGACAUGAUUUCACGCGUCCAACAACUUAUCAAAAAAAUUUCUUUUGUUGUUCUAUCACGAUUUACGUAUAGGACAUCACGUACGAGAGAAUUUACCGCGCAAGACGUCAUAAAUAA
Long non-coding RNA from Ooceraea biroi (clonal raider ant), 1321 nucleotides. RefSeq lists it as uncharacterized. Lineage: Eukaryota; Metazoa; Arthropoda; Insecta; Hymenoptera; Formicidae. The record is from RefSeq and is a predicted model, not a curated record.